RNAcentral lists this ribosomal RNA (464 nucleotides) under uncultured bacterium. RNAcentral describes it as "partial 16S ribosomal RNA". It matches the Rfam family "Bacterial small subunit ribosomal RNA", at positions 28 to 506 of the family's 1533-position model. The record is from RNAcentral.
GACGAACGCUGGCGGCGUGCUUAACACAUGCAAGUCGAACGGAAAGGCCCUGCUUGCAGGGUACUCGAGUGGCGAACGGGUGAGUAACACGUGGGUGAUCUGCCCUGCACUUCGGGAUAAGCCUGGGAAACUGGGUCUAAUACCGGAUAGGAGCCAUUUUUAGUGUGAUGGUUGGAAAGUUUUUUUGGUGUAGGAUGAGCUCGCGGCCUAUCAGCUUGUUGGUGGGGUAAUGGCCUACCAAGGCGGCGACGGGUAGCCGGCCUGAGAGGGUGGACGGCCACAUUGGGACUGAGAUACGGACCAGACUCCUACGGGAGGCAGAAGUGGGGAAUAUUGCACAAUGGGCGCAAGCCUGAUGCAGCGACGCCGCGUGGGGGAUGACGGCCUUCGGGUUGUAAACUCCUUUCGCUAGGGACGAAGCUUUUUGUGACGGUACCUAGAUAAGAAGCACCGGCUAACUACGU